Molecule: ribosomal RNA, 496 nt
Filed under: uncultured bacterium
Lineage: Bacteria
Description: partial 16S ribosomal RNA
Rfam family: Bacterial small subunit ribosomal RNA
Source: RNAcentral
GAUGAACGCUGGCGGCGUGCCUAAUACAUGCAAGUCGAGCGAACAGAUAAGGAGCUUGCUCCUUUGACGUUAGCGGCGGACGGGUGGGUAACACGUGGGUAACCUACCUAUAAGACUGGAAUAACUCCGGGAAACCGGGGCUAAUGCCGGAUAACAUUUAGAACCGCAUGGUUCUAAAGUGAAAGAUGGUUUUGCUAUCACUUAUAGAUGGACCCGCGCCGUAUUAGCUAGUUGGUAAGGUAACGGCUUACCAAGGCAACGAUACGUAGCCGACCUGAGAGGGGGAUCGGCCACACGGGAACUGAGACCCGGUCCAGACCCCUACGGGAGGCAGCAGUGGGGAAUCUUCCGAAAGGGGCGAAAGCCUGACGGAGCAACGCCGGGUGGGUGAUGAAGGUCUUCGGAUCGUAAAACUCUGUUAUUAGGGAAGAAAAAAUGUGUAAGUAACUGUGCCCGUCUUGACGGUACCUAAACAAAAAGCCCCGGCUAACUACGU